RNAcentral lists this ribosomal RNA (614 nucleotides) under uncultured cyanobacterium. Its description in RNAcentral is "bacterial SSU rRNA". It matches the Rfam family "Bacterial small subunit ribosomal RNA", at positions 122 to 770 of the family's 1533-position model. The record is from RNAcentral. Lineage: Bacteria; Bacillati; Cyanobacteriota.
GAAUCUGGCUUCAGGUUCGGGACAACAGUUGGAAACGGCUGCUAAUACCGGAUGUGCCUUAGGGUGAAAGAUUUAUCACCUGAAGAUGAGCUCGCGUCUGAUUAGCUAGUAGGUGUGGUAAGAGCGCACCUAGGCGACGAUCAGUAGCUGGUUUGAGAGGAUGAUCAGCCACACUGGGACUGAGACACGGCCCAGACUCCUACGGGAGGCAGCAGUGGGGAAUUUUCCGCAAUGGGCGAAAGCCUGACGGAGCAAUACCGCGUGAGGGAGGAAGGCUCUUGGGUUGUAAACCUCUUUUCUCAGGGAAGAAUGAUGACGGUACCUGAGGAAUAAGCAUCGGCUAACUCCGUGCCAGCAGCCGCGGUAAUACGGAGGAUGCAAGCGUUAUCCGGAAUGAUUGGGCGUAAAGCGUCCGCAGGUGGCAAUGUAAGUCUGCUGUCAAAGCGUCUGGCUCAACCAGAUAAAGGCAGUGGAAACUACAUAGCUAGAGUAAGGUAGGGGUAGAGGGAAUUCCUGGUGUAGCGGUGAAAUGCGUAGAGAUCAGGAAGAACACCGGUGGCGAAAGCGCUCUGCUGGACCUUAACUGACACUGAGGGACGAAAGCUAGGGGAGCG